UUAAUGGAACAGUCUGGAAAGUCCGGCGAUACAGGGUGAUAGCCCCGUACAUAAAAACUUAUCUACAGUGAAAUCGAGUAGGGCGGGACACGUGAUAUCCUGUCUGAACAUGGGGGGACCAUCCUCCAAGGCUAAAUACUCUCUACCGACCGAUAGUGAACCAGUACCGUGAGGGAAAGGCGAAAAGAACCCCGUUGAGGGGAGUGAAAUAGAACCUGAAACCGUAUGCGUACAAGCAGUGGGAGCCCCUUCGGGGGUGACUGCGUACCUUUUGUAUAAUGGGUCAGCGACUUACUACUUUGUGGCAAGCUUAACCGUUUAGGGGAGGCGUAGGGAAACCGAGUCUUAAUAGGGCGAAUUAGUCGCAAGGUGUAGACCCGAAACCGGGCGAUCUAUCCAUGGCCAGGGUGAAGGUGCGGUAACACGCGCUGGAGGCCCGAACCCACUUAUGUUGAAAAAUGAGGGGAUGAGCUGUGGAUCGGAGUGAAAGGCUAAUCAAGCCCGGAGAUAGCUGGUUCUCCUCGAAAGCUAUUUAGGUAGCGCCUCGCGUAUCACUCCAGGGGGUAGAGCACUGUUACGGCUAGGGGGCCAUCCCGGCUUACCAAACCGUUGCAAACUCCGAAUACCUGGAAGUGCAAUCGCGGGAGACAGACGGCGGGUGCUAACGUCCGUCGUCAAGAGGGAAACAACCCAGACCGCCAGCUAAGGUCCCUAAAUCAUGGCUCAGUGGGAAACGAUGUGGGAAGGCCUAGACAGCUAGGAGGUUGGCUUAGAAGCAGCCAUCCUUUAAAGAAAGCGUAAUAGCUCACUAGUCGAGUCGGCCCGCGCGGAAGAUUUAACGGGGCUUAAGCCAUGUACCGAAGCUGCGGAUGCGUGUUUACACGCAUGGUAGAGGAGCGUUCUGUAAGCCUGUGAAGGUGUGUUGUAAAGCAUGCUGGAGGUAUCAGAAGUGCGAAUGCUGACAUGAGUAACGAUAAAGGGGGUGAGAGGCCCCCUCGCCGAAAACCCAAGGUUCGCAGCUCAGCGCUAAUCGUGGCGGGGUG
This 1043-nucleotide ribosomal RNA is filed under the name Bacillus thuringiensis. Its description in RNAcentral is "partial 23S ribosomal RNA". It matches the Rfam family "Bacterial large subunit ribosomal RNA", at positions 329 to 1381 of the family's 2925-position model. The record is from RNAcentral. Lineage: Bacteria; Bacillati; Bacillota; Bacilli; Caryophanales; Bacillaceae.